This 449-nucleotide ribosomal RNA is filed under the name uncultured bacterium. RNAcentral describes it as "partial 16S ribosomal RNA". It matches the Rfam family "Bacterial small subunit ribosomal RNA", at positions 29 to 523 of the family's 1533-position model. The record is from RNAcentral.
AACGAACGCUGGCGGCAUGCCUAACACAUGCAAGUCGAACGAGAUCUUCGGGUCUAGUGGCGCACGGGUGCGUAACGCGUGGGAAUCUGCCCUUUGGUUCGGAAUAACAGUUGGAAACGACUGCUAAUACCGGAUGAUGACGAAAGUCCAAAGAUUUAUCGCCAGAGGAUGAGCCCGCGUAGGAUUAGCUAGUUGGUGUGGUAAGGGCGCACCAAGGCGACGAACCUUAGCUGGUCUGAGAGGAUGAUCAGCCACACUGGGACGGAGAAACGGCCCAGACUCCUACGGGAGGCAGCAGUGGGGAAUAUUGGACAAUGGGCGAAAGCCUGAUCCAGCAAUGCCGCGUGAGUGAUGAAGGCCUUAGGGUUGUAAAGCUCUUUUACCCGGGAGGAUAAUGACAGUACCGGGAGAAUAAGCUCCGGCUAACUCCGUGCCAGCCGCCGCCGUAA